UACAUCGGCCAGCAGCUGCUUUAUAAAAGUAGAGGAAAGUCCGUGCUAACACCACCUGUAAUGGUGAUAAAGUUCACGUUAGGUCCAAUAAACCUAAGCUUAGACGACAAGUGCCACAGAGACGAGUAAAGUGAAACGAGGUAAACUCCGUGAGUUAGAAACCCAAAUUAUGGUAGGGGAAUUUUGACUAGGAAUUAAAACGAUGUCAAAAAAUGUUAAUACAUUAGAUAAAUUGCUGGCACUGCUAAAAUGCAGUACAGAACACGGCUUAUAGAU
This 276-nucleotide RNase P RNA is filed under the name Mycoplasmopsis citelli. Its description in RNAcentral is "Mycoplasma citelli Bacterial RNase P class B". It matches the Rfam family "Bacterial RNase P class B". Rfam says of the family: Ribonuclease P (RNase P) is a ubiquitous endoribonuclease, found in archaea, bacteria and eukarya as well as chloroplasts and mitochondria. Lineage: Bacteria; Bacillati; Mycoplasmatota; Mycoplasmoidales; Metamycoplasmataceae. The record is from Rfam by way of RNAcentral.